Long non-coding RNA from Lagenorhynchus albirostris (white-beaked dolphin), 1752 nucleotides. RefSeq lists it as uncharacterized. Lineage: Eukaryota; Metazoa; Chordata; Mammalia; Artiodactyla; Delphinidae. The transcript is spliced from 4 exons. The record is from RefSeq and is a predicted model, not a curated record.
CCUGCCUAGAGCCUCGCCCCUCCCAGAAGGCCCCGCCUCUUCCCGCCGGAAGCCCCGCCACGAGAAAGUCCCGCCCUACCUGGAAGGCCCGCUCCCGCGUGAGGCCGCGAUGACGCAUGAGGUAGGCGGUGCAGACGGCGGCCGAGCGGCUGCGGCCGUUCUUGCAGUAGACGAGGCAGACACCACCGGCGCGUACCGCGGCCUCCAUGGCGGCACAGGUAGGCUCCAGGUCCAGACAUCACCUACGUAGAGGCCUUCUCGGCAUCCAUUUCCUUCUUCUGUGGCCUAAGGAAGGAUUCUGACUUUCCUGGGAUGGGAUUCCCAUUUUUCCCAGAGUUCACGGGAGCCAUCCAAGUAGGUGGAGAUUCCCUGUCCCCCAGCUCCAGAAUCGGGCUUCUGAUUACGUCCAGUCAGUGACGCCUGUACCCCCAUGACUGCUUCGGGAAAGGGCUUGGGCUGCCAUGUGAACCAGAGAGGAGAGAGGGGCUUGGAAACCUCUGUCCUCUCCUUAUGAGCACAAAGGGAAGCCAGCCUUGGUUGAGCACAGCUGAAGAAACGGUCCUCGAAGAUAUUGCUGGGCCACUGGAUCAAACCAAACCUGAAGAGCCUCCAGCUUCUGGACUGUUUGGUUUCCUGAGCCAUCCAAUCACCCUUUGCUGUUGGAUAUUUGAGUCGACACCACCUGCCCACCACACCAUGGCCCAGUGGUUUUCAAAGCGUGGUGGGAACUUGGUAGCAAUGCAAGUAGGAGUCCACCUACUCAGGACCUGCUGAAGCGGAAACCCUGGGAGUGAGACACAGGAAGCUGUGUGUUACCAUGCCCUCCGUGUGAUUCUGAUAAAAGAUAAAAACCUAACCAUCAUUUAGUUGAUCUAAAAAAUUCAUCCCGGAGGCCCCAGAGGGGGAAGAGGAGGAGCCCGAGGGUCCCCUUAGGGAGCAGGACCUGAAGGAGGCCUGCAUCGAGCUCACCCAGGGUGUGCAGGAGUGGCAGGACGGCUGCGUCUACCGAGGAGAGUUCAGCAGGACGUGAAGCUGGGAUGCGGAGCAUUCUCUCGGCCCACGGGCGAGGCAAGUCGUUCCUGGUGCUCUCCCCUCUCCGGCCCCGGUUCAGCCAGCCACGGCCUGUCCCUCUCCUCGGAGAGGCACGUGCUGUGAGCUCGUAGACCCACCGAUGGGAAGGAUGCUAGGCAAACGUCCUUCCUAUUUGAGAAACCCAGAGAGACUUCUGAGAUCACGUCCGAGGUUCACCUGGGUGUCCACAGGCUGCAGCUCGGGAAACUGUGACUUCAGAAGAUAAAUUCUUAUUCUAGGCAAAUAUUUUAAAAUUGCGAAUUACUGUCGUGAGUUGUAUAUUUGUAUUGAUGAAAUUGCCUUGUAUUUAAGCUCAAAUAGAAAAAGUGGAUCUUCCUAAAAGUGAAAGUGCACUUUUGCGCCCCUGCAGCAGGCGGUGUCAGGACCUCAGUGGGGACUCUGAGGGGCCCGUGGCAGGAGCUGUUGGCGCCACCUGGCGUCCCCGCGAGGGUGGAGCAGCUGUGCGUCUGGCGAACCUGGGGGUAUGCUGUGGCCUGGGGGCUUAGUGCGCCUCCCCCAGGGGGAAGCUGGCUUCUGAAGGCUUUCCAACAAUGUGUUGCAUCCCUGCCAGCUGCAGGUGCGCUGGUGGAGGAUUCUGCCCUGCUUGCAGGGUUGUGUGACUCAGUGGAGACUUAAGUGCAUCUUUUGCUUGCAGAUAAUAAACACCAUCUGGAGGCACUG